This 275-nucleotide long non-coding RNA is filed under the name Mytilus galloprovincialis (Mediterranean mussel). The record is from RNAcentral. Lineage: Eukaryota; Metazoa; Mollusca; Bivalvia; Mytilida; Mytilidae.
AUUAUUAUACAGUACUACCUGUGACUUUAUCUUAUUAAUGGUGGCCAUAAAAAAUAUGUUCACCAUGGUGGCCCUAUAUGUUCAUCAUCAUACCCCCUGUUGCUUUUUUAAUACACAAGGUAUUAAUCAAAAACUAGUCAAGGAUAAAGGGAAAUCUUGACUGCAUUGAAGUGUUAAAAUUAUAUAACUUACAGGUUAUGUGUCUCAGGUAAAAUAUACAUGUAUGUGUUUGUCAAAUUUAAUAACUGUGAUUAUGACAAGAAAUUCAAAAAUAA